This is a non-coding RNA of Meleagris gallopavo (turkey), 18845 nucleotides long. Lineage: Eukaryota; Metazoa; Chordata; Aves; Galliformes; Phasianidae. The record is from RefSeq and is a predicted model, not a curated record.
UUUUUGUAGGCAUCCUGAAAUCACAGUAACUUGUCCGUAUCUCUCAAGAUCCAGAUUUUGGUGCUUUCUGUCCAGUAGGAGCCUGGAGCACUCAGAAAAAGCACUGGGAUGAUUGCCCACCUUGGCAUUUUUCUCCAGUGCUUUUCCUUCUAGGUCACUUAGCUGCUACAUGGGCUCUCCCAUAUCCAUACCUUAAGCUUAGCCUCCAAGUCUACAGAGCAACCAGAGCUACAGGUGAAAUCACUAACUUUAGUAAGAUUGUUUUUUGUCAUUUCCUCUUACCUUUUAGCUACUAUAGUGUACCACAAAGAAGUCCUUGGGGCUGGAAGACAUAUUAGGAGAAAGGAAAAUAAUUGAGCCAAACAAACUUUGGAGAAGCAGUUGAUUGAGAGGAUAUGACAAUGUCUCAAAGAAAGAGGAAGAGGAUGAUGAAGUAAAAUGAAUAUACAGUUUUUUUCCACAUUGCCGAUCAUAUCUUAAUAGAGAUGUUAGUUAUGAUUUUCCACUGACUUAAGUGAGUAUAACUGGUGUACACACUGUGACGGAUUUCUCAUGGAAUUGUGAUGAUUUCUGCCCUUUGAUUAUAUGGAACCUAAUUUUGUGGGCCCAGGGAAUGAGCCUAAUAUCCUAUCUGCUGUCCCUUUGUAUAACUGCAGAAGAGGAAACAUUAUGACUCUUUGUCUUGAAGUGCCACUAAAAAUGUCAUUUCUUAUAAAAGUGACUCAAUAACUUUUGGUUGGAAAUGGCUGGAAUUAACUAGAAAAGGGUAAACACUUGAACCAAAUUAUCUCCAAAGCACCUUUUUGGAAGUGGUUGUCUUAAUGCCACAGUGAUUGUACAGUGAGAACAGAACUACUGUUUUGUGGACUCCAUUAACUCCCCUAAGCACAGCGUUGCCCUUCUUAGACAAUUUUUUUCUCAGUCUAUUUUGACUAGUUUAGCCCUUUACAUCUCACAGAAUUCAAAAACCAGCCCUGAAAUAGCUAUUGUAGCUUCCUUUUGCUGAGUAUUUGUACUUUUUUCUUACAUAUGUAACAUAAUCUUUCACAGAAUCACUUUAGAUAAUAAGAUACACAGUUUGUGUUAAAGUUAGUUGUGGUAAUUCAGAAAUAUGAAAUAUAACUUAGUUAGCUAAUUAGAUAGCUGUAAAUGAAGGGUAGAUCAUGAUUAUGGUACUCCCACAAUCUGCCAGCCCAGAGCACAAGAAAAACUUAGAUUUGAAAUACUGGGAAAGCUUAAGAUCUCUGCACUCAAUUUGAAGUUUCUAAAUUAAAAGUUUCUCUUCAGGACUAAGGAGAUUGAAAUAGAAUCUUCCCUAGGUGAUGAAGUACUGUUUUUCUUCUGUUAGGGGAAUUUGUGAGAAAUUAAUAUUCUUACCUUUCCCAACAUACCCUCUCAAAUACACAUUUAUAUGAAGAGUUGCCUUUGCUCAGCUAUCUUCUGUGAUGCUUAAGUAGCUCUGUUAUUCCCAAGUCUUCUAAUGUAAAACAAAUGUUGUUCUUGCAUCCAGCUGCACUCGUGGGGCAUGUACCACCUAUGGCAGGCCAAGCUAAAGUAGCUUCUUAUGAAAACGGGUGGUGUCAAUUGUUCAAUUGUUCCUGUAAGACUAAAGAUUGAAAGAAAAUGUCUGUCUUGGUUAACUUUUAUUCCAAAACUCUGACCCAACUGAGCAUAGACAUCUCCGUAACAGAGAUGUCAGAAUGACUGUGACCCAAAAUCAUGUUAUACGUCAGUAGCAGGGUUCUCGAAGAGAUACCUUUUGAAAUGGAGCACUGUGUAAGACCAGAUGGUGGCCUGAUUCUCUAUUGUUCCUCUUGGCUCUCUGGUGAUAUGUAGCUUUCUAUAUUGCUUUAUAUAUUCUCAUAGCACAGCCAAGUAUUUACAUUCAGAUAGCUCGGAUGAAGAAAAUGAAAAGGCCAAACAUAAAGAAGCUGCAGAAAAAAUGUUUGUCUCUGAAGUGUGUGUGAGUGUAUGUGUGUGCGUGUGUGAAUCCCUGUGUGAUAUUAGAGGUGUUCUAAGUAGGUAUUAAUCUUGUUUUCUCUCUCUCUCUUUUUUUCUUCUCCAUUUUACAUGAAAGCUGCCACAAUUGGGAUAAGAGUGAAAUGAACAUAAGUAUGAUAAAUGAUAAAGUGCUCCUGGGAGUAAAUAUACCACUCAGAAAGAGCAUUGCUAAUCAAGCAUUGCAGCCAGCUAAUGCACUCUGAGAGCAAGCACCUCAAAAAGAUUCUAAAUUUGAAACAUUGAAGACUGGCAUUUAGCUUGAGUAGUUUCUGGUUUAAGAUGAAACUACUUCACCAGGGGAUCACAAUAGCAUAACAAAAUCUUGAAAUGGGGGGAGGCAUGAUGUCUUGUAUUAAAUGACCAAUGAGAUAGAGGGGAAAAAAGAGAGCUAAAAGCUAGAUUUUCUAUCUGAUUUGUACAAACUGAUUGUUUGAGCAGUGAAUAGAAUUAGGGAAGGCUGAGAAUAAAAUCUGGCCCUUUUAACUCUGCAGUAGAUGUAUAACUGCUGGUGUCCACUGGGGUGACUGAGGUGCUGCAUUGUUACAACAGUAUCUUUGAGAGGUGUUUGUGAAUGCCUUCAUAGAUUUUGGUAGCCAAAAUGCCAAAAGGACUGGCCUGGCAUGCUGAAUGCAUUGCUUUUAGAGAAAGCAGCAUAUGUUCCACUUGUGAAUUUCAUCUGCCACCCACUCUUCAGAAGUGUAACACUGCCCACACAUCUUGCCUGAAUGACUUGAAAAAUAUAUUUUUAUUUGCAAAUGAUGCUCAAAGUCAGAACUAUCAAAGCUGUGAUGGGUCAAGAAAAUCACCCAGAAGAGGUUCUCUUUUAAAAAAACAGGAUGAAAGAACUCCUGGCAUGAGUGAAUUGGAUUAACUUUAGAAUGUGUUUGGGGUGAAUAUUAGCAAAGUAUUUUAAAUUACGUACCUAAAAAACUUGGUAGGUACACCAUGCCUUCGUGUAUGUUUACAAAAUUUCACAUAGUUGCAAAUAUGAGUUUGCUUAAGUUCAGAAAAUGCUUUCAUUUUGUCCUAUGUUUAUUCAUCUUCACUUACACUAGUGAAUUAGUUGUUCAAUAACUCCAGGAACAUGGGUGACCUUCCUUGUGUCUUAUCUAGUCCUACCAUAUGAUAUGGAAGGAAAGAAAAUUGCCUGCAGUAAUCAAGAUGUGGAGGCACUGGUUCAAGAUUAUGAUGCUUUCUAUUUUAAUCUGUAUUCCUUUCCCAGUCAUUCCUGAUGUUUAAGUUUGCAUUCUGACCAGCACUGAUCACUGAGCUGACAUUGCUAAGCAAACAUAGUAACUUCAAGAUCUCCUUCUGUAUUAGUAAUUGUCACUGCCAUGUAUAUAAUGAUCACUAUUUUUACAAUGUGCAUUAUUUUGCAUUUAUUAACUUUUAAUUUCAUCAAACAUUUCAUUGCACAGUCAUUUAGUAUCGUGAGAUCUUCCUACAGUCAGUUUUAAUUUUGACAGCUCCAGAUGUUCCAAAGGAUGAUUCAGGCCUCAGGAAAUCAUUACACUGCCUUUAAAAUUAUUAAUUUGGAUGAUUUUUACUAACUUCUCCUUAAUGCAAACUUUUAUACUUUUCUCUGAAGCAACCAGAUCUAAAAACACCAUUGCUUUUUAAAUAAAAUUUUACAUCCUCUAAUAAUCCUUUGAUUUAGGGAUUUGGAGUUUUAAGAAACGUACCAAGUAUUCUGAGAUCUAUGCAAAAAUGUCAGGUGUUGGCAACACUGCUCAGACUUUCAUCUCAUGCCUCCCUAGGGUUCAGAUGGCUGAGCAGAAGCAGAGAACACAACUGAACGUGUUCGUGUUACAGUUGCACUGUGAGUUACCAUAACUGAGCUAAUUGGGCACACUCUCUUUGGAGGUCUUCUCUUCAGGUGUACGCACAUUAGAGAGACAAGUUGCUUCCAAAUUGGAACCAGAAAUUAACCUCAUGUGGGCUGAGCCUCAUCUGCAGCAGCAAACCUAAGUGAUUUUUCCAGCACAUCUUCAGAGAGGUAGAGCUGAGCAUCUGUAGAGGACAAUUCCAUGCUGUAUGCGCUGAUUCUUCUAUUUGCUGAUUCGGAUCAGAAAGCAAUUACUUGUUAUUAUUACAAGUAUAACCAAGUAGUUUUAGAUUUCAACAGCUGAUUUACAAAUAUCUGAUAAUCUAGCGCCCAUGAGUGUAGAGACUAAAAUGUCUUUGCACAUUCCUUGGGGAUGAAAGGGCUCGUUGAGAUGAUUUUAUUGUGAAGUAUUUAUUAUUAUUAUCAUUAUUAUUUUGCAGUGUCUCCUGAUGACACUCUAGUGCAUUAUACUGCUCACAGUCUUGAGAGUCAAGCACAGCUUGGUCGUCUGUAUUGUCAGAUCCUCUCUCUUCCUUCUCUGCCUUCAUGUAGUAGAAGAUCCCAUAACCGCAUGGAUGGGACACCAUUAAACCCCUUUUUACAUUUCUGAAGUGAAACAGGCUGACCAGGAUCCUAGUAAAUGGAAUCAUCUUCCUAUCUGUGUAGAUUUUCUGCUAUGAAAAAUUAUUAAAUCCUCUUUCCUUCAAAUAAGCUUUAAAUGGGAAUUCUUAAUAGAAACUAGAAAAUUUUGCAGCAGUUUCAAUAUUACUAGUUAUAUUUUGAACACUUAGAAGUAAAAAAAAAAACAAGAGACAUUGUAUUUUUUGUGUGUCUGUGUAUCAAAGAUAACAGUAAAAGUGGCUUGUUUUGAACUUCUGGAUGUAUUUUUACCAUUUUCUUAAAGGAGCUGUAGUUCUAGGCAUACUCAGUAAGAUUAUUCCUUCUAUACCUCUAAUUAUGAAAAUCUUUACAAUAUUUUCUCUUUACAGGAAGAUCUGUUAAGUUGGAGCACGUUGACAUUUUCCAACUUGCUUAAGUACAGUUGAGAAGGUUGCUGCAUGCUCAAUUACUUCACAUAGUAUAGGCUGUUAGUAAGCGGGACCACGAUCUGGCAGCCCGUAGCUCAGUAUUAGCUUAGUUUGUGUUACAGCCAAUUGCUGUCUGACCUCUCCACACUGCAGAGGAAAUGCAAUGCCAUCUGUAUAUCUCUUAGUCACAUUAAAUUAUGUCAUUUAUAUUACAUUGGAAUGCAGAGUUUACUUUAUGUUUUGCAGUAAAAUUAGCAGAAGUAACAAGAUAUAAGCAGAAGCGCAUAGGUGGAAGUUUGAGGGCCCCUUCCCUCUCUGGCUUGCUUUGAUACCGCCAGGUGUUGAAUUUAGGGAGAGAGGAAGGUUGUUUACAUCUAUGAAGGUGCUAGCAAGCGUAAAUGUUUAUGGGGUUUAAAAACCCUCUGAUGUCAGACAUCUAUGUGUUUGAUCUUACAGGAUAAAGUCUUUACUGUUAAUAAAUAACACCCUUAAAAAUUUGAGCAGGAGGAGGAGGGGAAAGCACAUUGAAAAUAGAAAAUUGAUAUAAAAUUGCGACUAUAUUAAGGUAUUAAAAAUGAAAUUGUGUACAUUAAAAAACAACUUCAAGUUAAUACUUCCUGAUAAACAAUUGCACAUACAUCACUGCCUUUUUAUCAGUCUCGAUGAAUGUGUCAGGCUCGUACUCUGUUAUUAUGGUCCUGUUAUUAUAAGGGGACAAAAGAAAUCAGGAUUUCUCUCCAAGGAGCCUGUUUCAACUCCCCUGGGAAUAGAGAGAAAAAACAUUGCAGAUUUAAGUAGAGCUGGGCCCUACAUAUAAUUUUUCUGUCUUUAAUUUCCACAAUUGCAUCUCUCUCUCAGUAUACUCCUAUGGAUCCACUAUCUGCUGCUCAAAUAAAAUAUUACCCUGCCCAGAAUAUGAGUUACAUUCUACAUGGAAUAGCUUCCAGAAGUUACCACUUUUUUUUUUUUUAACUUGAACUUUUGCGUAAAAUGGAAAGGCAAUAAGACUGUCAGUUAUUUGGUACAGCCCAUGCAGGCUGGAACAGGAUCCAGCUGCUCUUUGGACAUUUAUUGCUUCAGUCCUUUCCUGUUAAAUGUCCACUGUCAUUUUGGUUUUAUGUGAAACCCUUCAUUCAAAAAUAUGAUCGCAGACUAGAAGGACUUAAAAAGUUUUCUAUGUGGUAGUUGAUAUAAAACUAGACUAUCGCUGGCUUGACAGGCUUACAGAAAUUUUCAUUGUUAAUUUCAGUCCAAAGGAUUUCAGAAAUAUUUAUAAAUGGCGACAAUUUAUAUGAAUCUUUGACAUAACUCAUCCUAUAUUUUGUUUUAUAAACAUUCUGAAUGUAUUCACAAGGAAACAGGAUGUGCACUGUCUGAGGAGCUUUCUACUCUUUCCUUAAAAGGAUCUGCUACGUGCAAGUUGUACAGAGCUGUUGUAUAUCACUUUGGUCUUAAAAAAAUGUGUGUACAUAGAAAGGCCAAGGAUGAAAUCCUUGAAUUCAAUAGAAAAUGUUUUAUUGGUUUAAUUGGAACAAUGAUUUCACCUCAAAUCCUCAAAUAUUGAAAACUAGCAUAACUUUAUUAAAGAUGAUGAAUUAAGCUGAAGGGUGCUCUAGUUGCAUUACAGCUGGGGAUCUGGCCCUCAAAAGGCAUGUAUUCUCAGCGUAAGAAAGCAAUCAAGAGCAAAUAUGUCAGAAGACAAGUAAAUGAUGCAAACUUGUUCUGCAAGUUUAACCCUGGGCUAAAGAACAGAGCAAGGCCUAUGCUGUAGUCCUCUGCUACUCAUUUGUACGGGAGUGACUGUCAUUUUAAAUAAAAUACAAUUAAGUAAACUUGUGUUCAUGUCAGAUUUACAUCCUCAUUUGCAAUACAUUAACAAAUAAAAUGAAAAUAUAUUUAUACGUAUUAUAUAAGCCGAUCUGAAAUCCUGAUGUAUGUACCCACAGAUUUAUAAAUUGUAAUUGUAAAUCAAUGUAAAUUGCUUGGUCAGAACGUUAAUGCCUUACCAUCAUAGAAAUUAGAUACAGAAAAGACUGAUUCAUUUAUCUAGUCCAUCUCUAUGCCAGUGAAGAAUUAUUCCUGUUCAUUCUAAUCUUUUCUAGUGUAUUGUCCAGGGUAAUUCUGAAAGAUUCAAAGAGAAGGAUUUUUCUAUUUCCCUGUCAGAUACAGAUUUUAUUUCUUUACUUUUUCAUAACUUAAACUGAGGAAGGUGGCAGAGUUUCAGGCCCCGAUACAUCAAACAUCUCCAAAGCACCUAUCCUGCUCAAGAACAGAAAAGAACAGUAGAAUUAGCAUAUAAAAAUACAGAGAGAAACUGUGAGGCAUGUAAUCAGUUCUCUUCAUCCAUACCCAGAGCCCCUCACUGAUGAGAAAUCCUCUGCCACCGCUUUCAAAAAUUGGCUUAUUUCCAUUUCAGAAUAUGAGAAGCAAGGAGUUUAAUAAACAGGUGCUAAAGUAAAGCGAAACCCAUAGUUACGAAAUGGAGGUAUUAUUGUCUUGAUUGAGGCUCUUAACAUUAAGGGCGUACUUGGUUAAGUUUUAUCUCUCUUUCAUUUGCACAGAAUCCAUUUCCCAGCUCCGGAUGUACGGGAGAUUAUAUAUAGAGAUCUGACACCCAUCUCUAUUUGGCUGUUGAAUCUUGGCAACUGAGUCCAUUAACCCCAUAACGUCGUGUACUCCUGGUGUCUGCUCGAGAGCUGUGUGCUACAAGAGGCAGCAGGGUUUACAAGAAAGUGAAUGAACUGUGAGACAAACAGGUUCCACAGUUGUUGCUGACACUGACCACACAGAGGCUUUGUCCAGUCAUCCAUUUCAGUGCAACAGGAAGUUUUGCGUCUUGCAGUGAAUGACUGAUACCUACUGAUAUCAUGAGCUUAUCGUGAAUUUAUGCAUAGCAUGAAAAGUAAAAGAGACGAUAGCUGUGUACAGAUGUGUAGCUGGUUUAUCAUUUACUGAUCUGGCUAUCCUUGCUCAGAUGUUUUGUUCCCGCAUGAUAACUGCCUGUCAAAUUAUAAAAUGGCCCUAGUUAAAUGGCCAAGCUAGAAAAAGAAUGAUGAAAGAUAUUGUGAUAAAUAUGAAAGAGUGAAUUGAAAGAUUCGAGCUUUGCCUCUGGUUAUGAUCAAUCUCAUUUGGAUCUCAUUAAUGUUUCCAGAAGCGUCCACUGAAGUCCAUGGUGCCCAGUUAGGGAUAUUGUUAGACAUAUUUUUCAGAAAUUGUGGGGAUUCCUUUCUUCCAUUAAUUUGCUAGAUAUUUUUUAAUGUAACACUUGUCUGAAGUUCUGUUUCUUUUGAAAUGUUUUAGGAGCUGAUGCUUCCAAAUAAUUUAGGUGAUUCUGAAAAUGAUGUCCUUAAUCUUUACAUCUUACCUUCUCAUUAUCUCCAGAUUGAUAUAAUGCUUUCGUUAAAAGAAUGUGAGGAAGGUGACAUAAUUCAAUGUAGUAAAUUGUGUUGAGAUCUUCAGAUGGAAGGAGAAAAAUGCCAACUCUUUAUUCUCUGGUUAUUUGUUGUUUUUUUUUCCUCUUCUGUCUCUCUCCACAUUUUGUGUACUUUCGAACUGAUUACUUAGCUAUCUGGCUUGGGACUAUUCCUCUUCCGAGAAUUAAGUCAUUUAGUACGAAAAAAUGAGCUUAGUAAUGCAUACUGUUCUUUGAUGGAAGGCUACUCUACUUUGAUCACCAAUACAUCAUCAUACAUUACAAUGCUUCAUAUCUGAUUCUCUUUUCAUUUAUAGCAGCACAAAUCAGGAAUAACUUCAAUGAAGUCUGUGGAAUUAAACUGAUGUGAGUGAGGAUAUUCAGACUUUCCUUCUAUUCAGACCUCCUUAUUCUGACAUGUAAAUUGACUACCUUUCUACAAUAGAAGCCAUUUAGGAGUAAAUUUCCAAUGCGCUGUAUGAUCAUUAGAUUGGUAUGUAAUUCAUGUGUGCCAUUUUGAAAAUGCCAGUGCCCCUUUGAAAGGCUAUGAAGGAAAAAUGGUUACUUCUAUAAUGUUACUUAAAAGGCUUCUGUUUAUCAAAACCUCACUGUGUCAUGAAGGUAGUGUUUGUGCUUAGUGCAGAAAAAGCAUGCUUGUCUCUGUGACUGAUCUACAGAACAACUCUUGAAUAAUGGAAACUUAUUUUGUGCAUAUAAGAGAGAUAUAUAAUCCUCCAUCUGCUCCUUGGAAAAACUAGAAAAUUUGGCUUUGCUAUUUCUGAAUUUAAUCUUAAUCUUCAGAGCACUAAAACUCUCCAGUGGGGCCAGUGGUUGAACUGAGCUACUGAAUAUUGCCUGCAGAAAUUUAUUACAAGAUUGAAUAAUACAGUAUUUUCUCCAUGCUGUUUUAACCUCUUGUAUAUCACUAAGGUAGACAUUUGGGGGUGGAGAGUGAGUGCUGUCUCUUACUGCACGUCAUUUUAAUUUUGGGUGCAACCAAAUAAUAAGUGAUCAUAGUUAUACUCAUUUUUGUCUUUUUCCUCCUUUAAAAAAUAUUUCUGCUGCUGAAGUGGCUACAGUUCAGUUGGUAGUGAGGCUACAGAGUUUCAUGUUUUCAAAUACAAAAGUAAUUGCCGUGGUUGUUAACACAACUGAUUUCAUUACAUGGGAUUAUACUCCUUAGGCAAGGUCUCGGCGACUGUUCCACCCACAUGGGAGUCUCAAUGAAGUUCUGGCUGAUCCUUGAGCAAGGCUGGAGCUUACAGUUCUCGCAUUGAAGACCCAGAGGCCUGCUAGCUAAAUAUGGACAGAUUAUACAACAAAAGAAGAAACACACAUAAGAUAUUAGAAAAGAUUCCUGGAGCAGUGUAACUACCACCAUCUUCCAGCAUAUGCACACACCUGCCAUAUAUAUAUCCUCUUUGAGAUACUCAUGUAUGCAAGAAAACAAUGAACAUAAGCCUUAAAAAAUAAAAAAAAAGAAAAAUGGAAAUCCUGAAACAAUCUGAAGUAUGCCAAGGACCUAAACUGUAAUCUCAUUUCAUAUGAACAUGAAGGAAUUCUGCUGUUUACACCAGCAGCUCCAAAGAUUUUGUCUGUGGAAAGCAGUAUGUUGAAAGUUUUUAAUUUUGGUGUAUUUUAAUGUAGUGGGAAGAGAAGAGUUUCAAAAUGUUGGGCUUUUCUGAUCAUGUUUAGUUAGUGUUUUUUGGUAAUUUGUGGAUCACUAAGAAUUACCUGACUGAACUGUAGUUCCUUGCACAAAGACUGAUAAUCUUCUGGGAUUGGACGUGAUUUGUAGUAUGCAGAUUUCCAGGAUCUCAAUCACAUGUUGAAAAUUGCUAAUUGGUAUUUUGUUAUCAGUUGCCAUAUCAGCAAUUAUCUUUUCAGGCUUUCAAGUUAACAUCUUCUGCAGUGGGUUGCAGGUCCACUAAAGCAGAGCAUACGUCAGUAGUAAGAUUUCUCCAUAGUAUGCACACUUUAAAUGCUCUCUUUCAAGCAGAACAGCACGUCAAAAGCUUUAGGAAGGAGGAGACAUUUCAUUCCUCUUUUAAACAGCAUACUACCAGGGUAUUAUGUUAUUCACUGACUACCAUUCAGAUCUCAAUCCAAGUAGAAUAGAAAAAUGUAUUCAUACUGCCAGUUUAGGUAACAGCAUUUCACUUUAAAUCUAUUUCCCUGAUUGUCUACUUGAUGUACAUAUUGGAUUUUCUCCUGAGAUCCCUUCUGGAUUAACUAGAUCUCUUUCCAGGAAAACUUGGGAAUGAAUUGGCCACUACAUUAACUUAAGGUCUGAGACAAUAUGGAUGUGAUGGCACCAAGUCUUGCUCCCUUCUUUCAGCGUAGUCUUUCAAUAGUAUCCCAACAAACCCAAAGCCAUCACACACCCUUCUAUCACAAGGGCUUUUUCCUUGGAUGUGGUAAUCCUUAGGAUUGUGCUGGUAAAGCACCAGGUCACUGGAUUUCAUUACAGCCCACACAUAAAAAUAAUAAAUUAAAGCAGCGUAUAUAAAGGCCCAUGGUGAGAAUACAGAGGCCAUGAUCAUGUGGAAAACAGUGCAUGGAGAAUUGCCAUGCAGAGCACAAAUAGUCUUAAAUAGAAAAUAAAUAGGAAAAUACAACAUAAUCCCCAACAGUCUCUAAGGCAAAAAUCCCUUGAGUCUGCUGAUCCAAAGAGGAUCAACCAUGGUGCCACAACAUUGGUAAAUGAGUGAGUAGCUACUGGGAGGGUGCAUCUUCCAGUGAGUUACAGGCAAUUAUUCAGAGUGAACUCUCUGUAAUUUAUGUACAUUUGUUGAAAGAAAAUUGUGAAGUCAUACCUAGUAAAGGGCUCAGUUAAAAGAAGGAAGUUAAAGUUUACUCCCUGUGCAACUAGAAGAAUAUAGAGAAUUUGUUUGAAUAUCAAAUCUGAACACCAAAAAUCCACACUGUGGAGUUUGUUCUACAGAGUUGUAGGAAAAUAUCUGAUUUCAGUUUGUAAGAAUGACUAAAAUAUAGCAGCUGUUUAUGUCUCCUGAUUUCUUGAAGCUUUGCUUUGACUUUUAUGGCCAGCAGCAAAAAGAGCCCUUGUGUAAGAAAAUAAAUUUGAUCUUCUUUCCUUUUAGAUACUCUUCUACUUUAGCAAUUUUUUUUUUUACCAAGGUACUCUAACUGAAUGUAGAAAAUCUCAGAAACUGCAGAUUCUUUCAUUUCACUGUUUGAAAAGAUAUGUCCAAGUCACUGGUGAGAGUCAGAAUUAUUCAGAAAGCUCUUCUUUGCUUUUCAUUUACUUUUUCAAAUAGAUGUCUUUACACUAUGCUGUGUUUCAGGUCACUCUAAAAAUGGCUUUAAUAUUUGUAGCAAAGGGUAGAUAGCAUCAAUUUCUCCAUGAUAAAAGGAAUUAAUAUAUGAACUGUGGUGUAUAGAAAAUGAACUUUGUUUUAAAACAACUUAAUGCACCUUUUAUUUUUUUCCUAUAACCAAAUUGUUUGCUUCUUUACCUCACUCCCUCCAUAGUUUGAACACAUUUAUGGUUAAAUACACAAUGGGUGGGAAAUAACCAUGCAGUAACCUUCCUUUACUGAUGCUUGACUAUUACUAGAGUUAAAUAAAAAGAUAUUUGGUAGUUAUAAUAAUUUUGUCAAAUGUUUGCAAGAGGGAAGAAACAGGUUAGAAAAGGCGUGACCUAAAGUUUGUCACUGACCACUGCUACUUUUACUAUUUUAUUUUUAUUUUUUUAUUCAUUGUAUAGUAAUUUCUACAGGCAGUAGUCAGGUUCUGUUCUACAGAAGGCCCAUGUUACAGCUGCUUGGAAUUUUCCACUAAACUUUUCUGAUUAAAAAAAAUAGAUUAUUAAAUAAAAAUAUUAAAAUAACAAAACAUACGUACUUUCCUGGGUAAAGUAGUGCUGAUUUGAUGGAAACUUGAAAACAAAUUUGUAUUUUUCUUGGUGGUUUUCUUUUUUUCCUCAUUCACAGACUGAAAGAUUUAGCUGGGCAACCAACAAGGCCACAAUUCAAAAUGGUACUACCAAGGGACUGUGCUUUACAUGUCAUGAGGUCUUAUUCUUGCAUAUGAAUAUGAUGCCAUUCACGUUGCUUCUGUGUAGCCCAGCUGAUUUUGCCCACAAGCUGGCAGAAUUUCCCAAUUUAAAGGAAGUAGCUUUGUUACUGGAUGUAUUAGAGCUACCAUACGUGUGCACAGCAGCUGAUUUGCACAUUGCACAGUAACCCUGGCAUGGCCUGGAUCCAUCACACCUGCUGUGCACGCACAAUUGAAACGUGAAUAUGUGUUAAUCAUUGCUAAAAGUAGCCAACUAUGUCUUUCUAUGGAAACUUUCAAAUUAAAUUGAGAAAAUUAAUUUUCUUCUGAGUAUUCUGAAUGAAGAAAACAAGGUAGUAAUGUGAGCUCUGACCAGGCUAGUAAAAAUGUUUUCAGGUGGACCUUUUCCCAAAUAUAAGAAAAACACUGGCAUUUGUGCAGAAGUUAACAACUCAAGUCACAGCAUACAAGUUACAGUAUUGAUGGUAGUAUUGUAGUACACUGCUGAUGAGAAAACUUUGUGAGAUAAAAUCUUUAACCUAGAGCUAGGUUCAAAGUGCAGGUUUCACAUCCAGAUUUCACUCCUGGUAAAGUAUGCCGGAUUGAUUGCCAAGCCCUCUGGUAGACAAGUUUUGUUAGAAAUACGAGCUAGCUGCCAUACCUGGAUAUACCAUUCUGUUCGUAAUUCAGACCACUUUAAAAGAGCAAUAUCAGCGACUGAGUUUCUCAGAGCAGACAAGUGCCUAAGUUAUACAUUUUUUUAAUGGGAUCCUUUCAUUAGCCUUAGCUGAUAUUACUCAUAAACCAACCCUUGCGCUACCAGGUUUAAUCAUUGUCUCGAGGCAGAGGCUUAUUAGUGCAAGGUCAUUCUAUACUUUUUUAUUUCAUAUUUUCCCUUAGAGAAAGUGAGCGAUGUCUCCAGAAAAAUCACCUACCUCCCGCCUAGCAUAUCAACAUCCACAGACUUGCUGCCAGCAUAGAUGUAAUGCCUCUUGGUCAAAACUCAUGUUGCACCAAAACAGAAAGUUUACAGUAAAAAGCAGAUAAUAAGAUCAAGCCUUGAAACUUUUAUGUGGGAUUAUGUAAGCUGUUUAAAGAAUUAAUGAUAAAACUUCUAACUAAAAAAAGAAAAAAGAAAAAAGGGAGGUGUUUCUUGAAAAUAUUAAAUCUCUCAUUGUGAAUUAAGUGCUUUUGAAAUGCUGGAUUAAUAAUUCUGGAGAUCAAAGCCUUACACCUGGCUGAGCUACUGACACGUCCCUAUGGCCUUGGAGCACCCCACAGUCUCGCCCUUGGGGGAACCAGAGCAAUCUGAUUCCUGUGCCGCUGUUAGGGAACUGAGGUGCAAAAAGGCAAAGUCACAUCUUUAAGCUCACAUUAGAAGUCUGUGCUAAAGCAGGGAUUUCAGACCAGGCAUCUGAUCUCCUUGGGUAGCAAUCCAAAUGAGGACUGUUGCCUGUCCUACAAAAGAUGCAGUGACAGCCAGAAAGCCCCUGAUCAAAAAGGGUGGAAGAUUUCCCUGUGCCAACAAGUCCCUGGGCCUUCAGCAGAGAAGCACCAAAAAAGCAGAAUUAAGACAGAGAUAGCAUUUUCAAGUGGCUAACACCAGCGUGGUGGCGACUGGACUGUGAUCUAACAGGCUUACAUGUUGUAGCAUAGUGAACAAUGACAUACAGUAGAAUCUUUUUGUAAUUCUUUGUCAUGUUAACAUUCCUUGUUUUGGAGAGUAUUUCCGACUGAAUUUCAAAUAACCCAAUUCAUUGGGAAAGAUUUCUGCUCACACAAUGUUUAAUGGACUGGCUUUAGAUCAAAAUAUGUCAAUUGCACAGAAACAUAGUAUCAUAAAAUCCUAGAAUCAUAGAGUGGCUUAGAUUGGAAAGGACUUUAAAAAUCCUUGAGCUCCAACCCACUGCUGUGGACAGGGCUGCCAUGCACCAGAUCAGGCUGCCCCAUCCAACCUGGCCUUGAAUGCCUGCAGAAAUGCGGCCUAUUGGUCUCCUCAGAAUUGCCACCUAACCUUUUUCUCCUGCCUGCCUCUCCAGGCUUCUCAGCAGCACAUGGGCUGGGUUUCCAGGCUUUUUCACUCCUUGGUGCCUUUUUGGACAAGUAACCAAGAUACCACGAUUUCUCACACCUCUAUGUUCAUUGCUUCCUGGUUUUUAACUCCUGGAGUCAUACAGAAUAUACUAAGAGGAAUACAGGUUCAGAAUCUGCGUGACAAAUCAAAGGUUUCUGCUUGACAGGAAUUGUAGUUCUUUGAUCUGAAGUACUGAUACUGCUUUGUUCAUUUAUAUCAGUAGGAAAUUCAGCCCAUUUUUUUGUUCCCUGUUCUGUGCAUACUCCUUAACCCCAAAUAAUAAUAAAUAAUGUUUUAAAAAGAAGAAUUAAAGUCUUAUUUAUAGCCACGUAAAUUGAAAGGGUUUCAACUAAUAAUGUGAAUCACAUAAUUUAAAAUAAAUAAAUAAAAGAGAUAUAGGCAGAAAAGCAGCCAACCAUAUGUUUUCACCAUAUGCUGAAGCAUACUUACUGUCCCUUGUAUCCUGUAAUCCCUGUGAAAACCAUGUACACAUAUUCACUGAUGGGAAAAAAAAUAAAGAAAACCUACAUGAAAUAACUUUAAAGCUACAAGAUCAAGUAGUGUGUAUUUGGACUGAAAAUUCAUGAAGUCAUAAUUUCUCUAAUAAAUGUAUAUCAUGAAGAUAUGGUUCUAUGGGCUUGAUCACACCACUUUUGGCUUGGAAGCUUUCCUUCAUUCACUGGAGAUGAUGUAUGGUAAUCACUAAAAGAGUAUGAAUAUUCACAUGAAAGCAUUGAUCUGUAUCCUAAAGAUGUAUCUUAUAUACCAUCUCAUCACUUCUUCAGUAGAGAGGUAGUUCUGGAUUUCUUUGUGUCUGUAUCUGAUAUCCAUUAGAUUAGUUGAGGGUUAUAGGUAUUCCCAGGAAGCAGAUCACUUAUUCUCAAUGACUCUAAGAUCUGAGCUUGACUUUUACUGCUUUAUUGAUGGAAAUUAAACAGAGGUACCAAGUAGCGUUCACAUAGCAAUAGGAUUGGUUGAAAACAUUCAAUUUUUUUUUCAUUGAAAAAUUUGUUGCUUGAAAAUAAAUAAAUAUUCACCACCUUUCCUUUUACUAAGGAAAAAUAUUAUUUAAAUUGAAUUUUCCAUUAGCAAAACCUGAGAUAAACUUUUCAUUCCAGCUAAAGUAGAAGUUCUUUGCCUUUGCACUCCCAACAUGCCAAUAUGCUAGAAGUUUCAGUACUGGCAGUAUAAAAGCCAGUGUGAGCUCUUUGCUGGAGCCCAUCUUGCCACAGGAUGCUACCCCUGUCACUAAAGCUGUUACACAUCCACUGCAGGGGGCAGAGGGUAGUACAGUCCAGGCAAAGACUGGAUAGGAUUGCAUGAUCCCAAACUCAGCAGGAGCAGUGAGUUGCCACCUCUCCUCAAGGCAAGAGCUUAGGAGAUGACCAGAUAAAACCCAGUCUGUGAUCGCAACACUGGUAGUGGCUGUGGUCUAGAUACGUCUUACUUCAAUGACCUUUCUAUUGGAAAUGCAAGAUCCUAUUUCUCGUAUGUUUAGCUGAUUGGUUCCAUACCGUAAUUCACUGAGGCAGGACUGAGAAAAUCUGUGCAGGUCAGAUAAAAGUGGAAAUUGCUUGUCACUGUAAAAUAGAAGAAAGAGAGGCAAGGAGCAGAAAUUUUCUGCCUCUUGAAACAAACAGAAUGGAGUUGAAAUUUGAACAGAUGAAUUGUGUUUUUAUGUUCAUAUUUUCUGUGUAUCCACAACAAUCCCAGGAGGCUUCGAAUCAACAUUUUGAAAUCUUUUUUUGAUAAACGCAUUCACAUUCUUAUCAAAAUUGACUUGUGUUUGGAUUUCUCAACUUAUACUCAAUUAGCAUCUGAACCCAAUACAUUAAGUAUAUGAUAUGGUGAUGUCUUCAGUGCAUAUAUUUCAUUUGAAUGUUUCAAACCAUUACUACUGCUACUGGCACAUGCUAUUUUACUUCAGGGGUUUUCAAGAGCUGAUUUUAUGAUUAUUUGGCUUACCCGGAAAUAUAUUUUUUCAUAAUCUACUUUCCAACUCCCAUUUAUGUCUUUUCAGAAAUAUAGAAAACAAUUAAGAUUAUGUCAGUGCUGAAGAUACUGAAGUCUUAGGUUGAAACCUAAAGUGGAACCUAUCUUUCAGCAAAGAACAGGUCAACGGAGUUAAUGGCUAAUGUGUGACUUAGAGCUAAUUUUGAGGAAAGAAUACAGAUUGAUGCUGCUAUUAUUUAAUAAUUUUUUCUCUUUAUUUUUUUCUUAUCGUUCUUCAUGCAGAAUUGAAAUGUUCUUUACUAGGAAGAUAAAUUGAAAAGAAAAUAAACCAAUAAGUAAUAUAUCCAGUCCGAUUAUUGUGCCUGAUAUAAACUUAUAUACACAUAGCAUUGAUUUCUUCAAAAAAUGAUGACCUUCAUGUGGUUAUAUCAACUAUUUUAAAUAUAAAAACAUAGGAAUUUUUCUGAGUUUGUUCCUACUUUUGUAAAUAAAUAAUCCACUACUAUUUCUGCCUCUAGCACUAUGAAGAAUACAGCAAACUUAAAAGACGGUGACUGUUAAAGGCAGAUGAGACCAGGCCCUAUGUAACAGAGGCAGAAAAUCUAGAAGUUUGUCACGUUCUUCUGAACAGAAGUUGGUCACAAUGAGAGACAACGUGCUCAAUUUUGGGCUCUGGUGUAGCUCUCAUUGUGCUGGCUCAGCUGCUGGAAAGGAGCCACGGGGUUAGAUUGAUCGCCCCGUGUGGAAUACACCUCUCAAGAAGGAUGCUGCAUAUGUUUGGCACAAUGACCCUGCACUAUUCCCUCGAUUGAGACAGAGGGAGGAAGCAUAGAACUCCACUAUUCUGGCUGAUCAGAAGUCAUUCAAAGCCACAGUAAAUUAGAGAAGCCCUUCUGAGUCCUGGGUUGUGCCUCCUGACAGCUGAAAGCAUGGGAGGAGUCAUCACAGCUAAACCAUUUUUAUGACUAUGAGACUGCAAGAUGAGGAAAACCACAACUAUCCAUUUAGGUUCAAAGGACAGGGGACUUCUGGCAUAUUAUACCUUCCAUCUGUCCUAUGAAACUAUAUGUCAUUUCCUCUGCAUUUCUCUGAGCAAUUCACUCCAUGGAAUGAAGAGUUACCUUUCUCUAUAGUGCACUUUGAGAUCUGUGGUUGAAAAUGACCUAUGUGAAUUAUAAAUUACUGUUUAUUUCUAUCCCGUGCAGUGCGCGUUUAGCUCUGUAUGUAGAAUUCAAGCAGCUCCUUGCUUUUCAAAGAAGAACAAAACUGAAAGGAAGAAGGGAGCAAUGAAUUAGAAUUUAGGAGAACUUUGCUUUGCCACAGGCUCGCUGUGUGACUUUCAGAUUUUUAUCUCCUUGUGUUUCAGUUCUCCAUAUUGAAACUAAAGAUAAUAAUGCUCCUCCUGGCUUGACCUUUGUCCUAUUUAUCUACUUUAGAAAAUUCCUAGGGGCAGUGAUCGUCCCUUAGUAUGUAUAUCACCUACAGCAGAGAAGCUCAGAUAUCAUAUGGGGCCUCUAUGUGCUGUUAUAAACAUCCAUUAAAUAAUUAAGUUAUGGCAAGUGCUGUCCUGUCUCCUUAGACUUAAAAAAAAAAAAAAAUUUGGGUACCAGUAAGCUUUAUGCUUGGCGUUAUUCUCGACUAGACUGAAUUGUUAAGGUAGGAUUUCUUCAGGAGAACUGUUGAGCAUUGUGGAGAGAGGUUCUAAUCCUGUUAAAAUGAACUCUGUAGAAACAUAAGCAAGCUUUCCCUUGGAAGGAAAAUGGACAGCUUAUUCUGGAGGUCAUCUUGAAGCAAGUGAAAGAAAAGAAGAUUAUCAGGGGUAGUAAAUACGGAUUGAUAAAGGGGAAGUCAUGCUUGGUCAGUCUGGUAGUCUUCUAUGAUGUCAUGACUGGCAGGGUAGAGAAGGGGAGAGCAGUGAAUCUUCUCUGCCUUGGCUUCAGCAAUAUUUUGAGUCUGUCUCCCAUAAUACACUUGUAGGUAAGCUUAGGAAGUGUGAAAUAGAUGAGUGGGCAGAGAGGUAGUGGACAGUGCUCAAAGGAUUGUGAUCAGCAUGUGCAGAGUCUAGUUGGAGGCUUGUACCUAGCAGUGUUCCUCAGGUGUCAUCAAUACUGGAUCCGGUCUAGUUUAACAUCUUAAUCAGUGACACAGAUAACAGGAUAGAGUGCACUCUCAGCAAAUACACUAAUGAACAAAGCUGGGAAGAGUGGCUGACACACCGGAAGGCUGUGUUACCACUCAACAAGACCUGGACAGACUGGAAAGUUGGGCAGAGUAGAACCUGAUGAGGUUCAGCAAGGGCAAGUGUGGAGUCUUGAACUUGAAGAGGAAUGUAAUUUAAGUACAGGUAGGGGCUAACCUGCUGGAAAUGAGCUCUGCAGAGAAGGACUUGGUUGUUCUCAUAGACAAAAGACUGGUCAUGAGCCAGCAGAGUGACCCAGAAGGCCAAUGGUAUCCUGGGAUACAUUAAAAAGACUGUGGCUGGCAGGUUGAGGGAGAUGAUCCUCCCACUCUACUCUGUCCUGGUGAGGCUGCAUC